This 244-nucleotide ribosomal RNA is filed under the name uncultured bacterium. RNAcentral's name for it is "partial 16S ribosomal RNA". It matches the Rfam family "Bacterial small subunit ribosomal RNA", at positions 1258 to 1500 of the family's 1533-position model. The record is from RNAcentral.
UGAUAUGGAGCAAAACCCUAAAAAGACGGUCUCAGUUCGGAUUGAAGGCUGAAAUUCGCCUUCAUGAAGCUGGAAUUGCUAGUAAUGGCAGGUCAGCAUACUGCCGUGAAUACGUUCCCGGGCCUUGUACACACCGCCCGUCACACCAUGAGAGUUGGAAAUACCCGAAGCCUGUGAGCUAACAGUAAUGAGGCAGCAGUCGAAGGUAGAGCCAAUGAUUGGGGUGAAGUCGUAACAAGGUACC